GUUGAUGUAAUGCCUUUAAAAAUUGACAGUACACAUGCUUUUAAAUGAGAUCUUAUCUCUGAGUUAGAGUAAACUGUCAAGACUUAAAACUUACUUACCUUACCUUUCACCAUGGAACUUGUAACCGUCACUUCUGUCUUGAGUAGUUAAAAGAUAGAACAGUCUAGUCAAGUGCCAUGUCUCUUAUUCUUGAUCAGCUAUAGCUCUGGAGUUUUUUUUCCAGAUUUUCAAAUAAAGCUCAGAGAUUUCUUCUAUGACUCUCUCAUAUCUCUCUUUUGUGGUAUUUUUGGAUCCUUACCAAGGCAGUGAUGGUAUAUGCCUUCUCUCAAAGUAUGUAGUAUUUGUGGUAUAAGGCAUAGUGACAUUGCCUUCUAUCUCACCCUAUUCUAAUAAGGCCUUAAUAUCUGGAGCUCCUAGGUGGGAGAUAAAGUAUACAUAUUUACAAGACAUUUAUUGUAUAGUCAAACCUUGGAUCCAAAGAAACAAGUCAAUAAGUCAAAUCAAGAUGUGCAUGUGUGGCGAAUGAAUGGUGUAUGGUGAUGAUGGUGAUAACAAUGGUGAAAUCUAAUUUUACUUGUGCUCUUUUGAGGGGAUACAUACCUUCCUUGCUCUUUUGAAACUUGGGGAGAAUGAGAUGCUCUAUAUUUUCUUUUUCUUUUCUCUCAGGUGGGUAUUUUGUACCCCUAAUUCUACUGUCAGACACUUGUCCAUUUUUAUCUCUCGUCUCACUUUUUCUUUUCUUUCGAGGUUCCAUGCACUUGCCCCUUUUUAUUUCCUCGUAUAUAUUUCUUUUUUCUCUUUUUUAGAGCACUCAUCUCCUGAAAUAAUAUAGCAAGUGCUAGUAACCAAGAUAACUUGAGCAUUUAUUUCACAGGGGAAAACAGAAAUAUUUUUGGCUAUUCUCUCCUGGAUUAGGAGUAGAAUACUUUUGGGUGGUUCUGGAGAUGGAAAUGGGUGGAUAUAUGUGGAUGCGUACUUCCGGAGUAGAAGCAGCAUGUGUGAGUGAACGUGCAAGUGAAUCUUGAUUUAACCACAUGACAAGCUCCUAAGGAUCUACACAGCUUGACCACACAAAAUGCUCAUAAGCAGUAAAAGUAAAUGUGUGACUCAAAGUCUAGCAAGCAUGUAUAUAUGGCUGUGGUAGGAAUUUAAACUCUCAUCAUACAGGAACUCAUUAUGUGAUAUUUUAAAGAUUCUUCAAAGAUAAAAUUCUCCAGAAUUCUAGCAUCUCUAGGAAUAGAUUAACAGCAGCUCAACCUUCCCAUAUCAUAUCCGUUAACAACUUAAACUUCAGAUCAAGUUCUCUUCCCACAAGUUCAGAUUUAGAGCAAGCUUUAAAUUAUAACAGUUAUGUCUAAACUAGAGAGAAAACUUCAAAUUUAAAAAUUAGUCAGAGCAACUAUUCAUUAUAUCCAUACUAGAGUUUUAUUAUUAAGAUU
This 1439-nucleotide long non-coding RNA is filed under the name Sorghum bicolor (sorghum). RNAcentral's name for it is "long non-coding RNA (SBIC_LNC006849)". Lineage: Eukaryota; Viridiplantae; Streptophyta; Magnoliopsida; Poales; Poaceae. The record is from RNAcentral.